CCUACGGGAGGCAGCAGUGGGGAAUAUUGCACAAUGGGGGAAACCCUGAUGCAGCGACGCCGCGUGAGUGACGAAGUAUUUCGGUACGUAAAGCUCUAUCAGCAGGGAAGAAAAAAAGUCCUUUGGACUUUGGACGGUACCUGACAACGAAGCCCCGGCUAAAUCCGUGCCAGCAGCCGCGGUAAUACGUAGGGGGCAAGCGUUAUCCGGAUUUACUGGGUGUAAAGGGCGAGUAGACGGCAGUGCAAGUCUGGAGUGAAAUGCCGGGGCCCAACCCCGGAACUGCUUUGGAAACUGUGCAGCUGGAGUGCAGGAGAGGUAAGCGGAAUUCCUAGUGUAGCGGUGAAAGGCGUAGAUAUUAGGAGGAACACCAGUGGCGAAGGCGGCUUACUGGACUGUAACUGACGUUGAGGCACGAAAGCGUGGGGAGCAAACAGGAUUAGAUACCCCUGUAGUC
Molecule: ribosomal RNA, 457 nt
Filed under: uncultured bacterium
Lineage: Bacteria
Description: partial 16S ribosomal RNA
Rfam family: Bacterial small subunit ribosomal RNA
Source: RNAcentral